RNAcentral lists this ribosomal RNA (484 nucleotides) under uncultured bacterium. RNAcentral describes it as "partial 16S ribosomal RNA". It matches the Rfam family "Bacterial small subunit ribosomal RNA", at positions 30 to 507 of the family's 1533-position model. The record is from RNAcentral.
AUUGAACGCUGGCGGCAGGCCUAACACAUGCAAGUCGAGCGGAUGAAGGGAGCUUGCUCCUGGAUUCAGCGGCGGACGGGUGAGUAAUGCCUAGGAAUCUGCCUGGUAGUGGGGGAUAACGUCCGGAAACGGGAGCUAAUACCGCAUACGUCCUGAGGGAGAAAGUGGGGGAUCUUCGGACCUCACGCUACCAGAUGAGCCUAGGUCGGAUUAGCUAGUUGGUGGGGUAAAGGCCUACCAAGGCGACGAUCCGUAACUGGUCUGAGAGGAUGAUCAGUCACACUGGAACUGAGACACGGUCCAGACUCCUACGGGAGGCAGCAGUGGGGAAUAUUGGACAAUGGGCGAAAGCCUGAUCCAGCCAUGCCGCGUGUGUGAAGAAGGUCUUCGGAUUGUAAAGCACUUUAAGUUGGGAGGAAGGGCAGUAAGUUAAUACCUUGCUGUUUUGACGUUACCAACAGAAUAAGCACCGGCUAACUUCGUG